This is a long non-coding RNA of Triticum aestivum (bread wheat), 728 nucleotides long. RefSeq lists it as uncharacterized. The record is from RefSeq and is a predicted model, not a curated record. Lineage: Eukaryota; Viridiplantae; Streptophyta; Magnoliopsida; Poales; Poaceae. The transcript has 3 exons.
UCCACGUAAAAAUAGCUUUCUAUGUUCUUGUUACCAACAACAAGCGAUUUUUCCUCUAUCUAGCGAUCUGCCUCAAGGCUGCGUCCCGCACAGGCUGGACACGGCGGAUCGGCCUCGUCGUGAGUAUCACCGGCUGGAGACAGGGGACCGGCGUCGUCGUGUGCCACCAACCGACUCUCUCUCUCUCUCUCUCUCUCUCUCUCUCUCUCUCUCUCUCUCUCUCUCUCUCUCUCUCCAUGGAUGUUUCCACGUCCAGAAUUUUUGUCAUGUCGCCGCCAUAGAUCCAUGUUGUUGCCAUAGAUCGGAAGCAAGUGAGUGCCGGCGUCGCGUGGCACCAUCCGCCGUCUCGUGCGGCAGGACGUCGCUAGCUGACUCAGAUGAUGAAUAGGCUAUAAGCACCGUCUGGGAGUAGCCUGUUGAGGCGAGCACCUGCGAGUGAUUGACACCGUUGAUGACGGCUCAGGGUUAAUUAGACGCAGCGACGUACGGCGACUGCAUGAUGACGGCGGCGGAUGUCACCGAGGUGCAACGGCGGCCAACGGGAGACUCCGUGACUGCUCUAGCAUGACGGCGGCCACGAUGACAUGCGGUUUACGCAGCGGACAGGAUAGCGCUCCAGCAGCAAGAGAACGGUGUAGCAGCAGCCGCGCGACAUAGUAUGACAAAUCGUCGACGGGUGAUUGCUCCAGUGCGGCGGCUGCUACAAAGUAUGGCUGUAUAGGAUCUGC